GGGGAGGGGUUGGUCCCUGCAGCUGUGCAUUCACGUGCCAUUAAGGUGACCAGUCAGUUUGUGCAACAUGGAAUAAACUUGGAGCUGAAGAAGCCAGUAACCCAGAAAUGCUAUUGGAGCAGACAAAAAAAAAAAGAGCAUCCCAAUAAAAGCUUUAUCUCUCUAGCCAAAGCAGCAGGAAAAGAACAACAUAGCAAGAGAUAAAACUUUAAAUAAUAAUGGUUCUACUGCAGCCAAACACCCAGAAAAUUGUGCGCCCAUCCCCAACCACUUCAGCAAAGGCUAUGGGGAGCUUAGACCCCCAGAUUCGUGAGACUGUAGCAGGGUGCCCCAGCUCCCAUGGUGAGUGGUGUCAGAAGGCUGAUUAGGAAGCUGGGACUUCAAACCAGUAAUGCCAACCAGUAAUAAGGUCCCCCAUCCUCAUCCUGUAGGGUCAAUGGAGACCACGUAGACACUUCCACCCCUACCUGGCAGUAAUGAGGCACCCCUCUUUCUCCCCUCUGAGGUAGUGCCAGAGGAGGCCUAGGCUUUCACAACUGGUCUGCAGGAACAAGGCUACUCCCAACAAGGUGUCCAUGGAGACCACACAAGGAGCAGGAACUCCCACCCCUAUAGUAAUGAGGAAAAUUCUACUUGGCUUUCAACAAAGACCAAGUGGGGAAUCUGCAUUUCUACCUCCAUCUGGCAGGAAUGAAGUGGCAUGACCUCUUUUGCUUCCAGAGUGAUAGCAGAAAAAUCCAAUUAAAACAGAAGGUUUAAAUAAGAUCUGAAGUCUUACAACAUAAUAUGAAAAUUAGUUUGGAGAGAGAGAAAGGGGUUGAGUGUUUGCAUGAAAGGGAAAGAGAGGUCCACGUGCCACAGAUGACAGAUAGGCUGGGUGAGAACUUUAGAGUUGGCCCCUCUCUGCUGUUGCAGGGCAAGGAAACAACACUUCAGCCCAGCGCUGGUCUGAGGCAGUUGGAAUAAUAGCAAGGUAGGGCUGGAAUUCUGUGGGGGUUGGUGAGCUGAUGACAAGAACUGCAGGUGAGCUGGCUGGCCUCUAGACAAUCCCAAUAGAGGGGGCUAGCCCAUGGAGAGUGGCAUUGCCUGCAGCCUAGAAUCUGGUCCAUGCUCAGAAGAGGAGAGGGAAAGGGGUGCAAAAGGAAGUGACUGUGAACAAAUUGUUGCCGAGGCUCUCUGACCUGGAGAUCCUCUCCACAACCCACUUUACCAG
Molecule: long non-coding RNA, 1213 nt
Filed under: Equus caballus (horse)
Lineage: Eukaryota; Metazoa; Chordata; Mammalia; Perissodactyla; Equidae
Description: lncRNA (ENSECAG00000048424.1)
Source: RNAcentral